Molecule: transfer RNA, 68 nt
Filed under: Aeschyntelus notatus
Lineage: Eukaryota; Metazoa; Arthropoda; Insecta; Hemiptera; Rhopalidae
Also listed under: 1 other name
Description: tRNA-Val
Source: RNAcentral
CAAGUUAAAUCUAAGAGAUAACAUUAUUUACAAUAAUGCUAAAGUUCGUGCAAUUCGUUCUGACUUGA